CCCAAGAGUUCAUAUCGACGGCGGUGUUUGGCACCUCGAUGUCGGCUCAUCACAUCCUGGGGCUGAAGUAGGUCCCAAGGGUAUGGCUGUUCGCCAUUUAAAGUGGUACGCGAGCUGGGUUUAGAACGUCGUGAGACAGUUCGGUCCCUAUCUGCCGUGGGCGCUGGAGAACUGAGGGGGGCUGCUCCUAGUACGAGAGGACCGGAGUGGACGCAUCACUGGUGUUCGGGUUGUCAUGCCAAUGGCACUGCCCGGUAGCUAAAUGCGGAAGAGAUAAGUGCUGAAAGCAUCUAAGCACGAAACUUGCCCCGAGAUGAGUUCUCCCUGACUCCUUGAGAGUCCUGAAGGAACGUUGAAGACGACGACGUUGAU
Molecule: ribosomal RNA, 372 nt
Filed under: Escherichia coli
Lineage: Bacteria; Pseudomonadati; Pseudomonadota; Gammaproteobacteria; Enterobacterales; Enterobacteriaceae
Description: partial 23S ribosomal RNA
Rfam family: Bacterial large subunit ribosomal RNA
Source: RNAcentral